UACAGAGGGGGCCAGCGUUAUUCGGAAUUACUGGGCGUAAAGGGCUCGUAGGCGGCCAACUAAGUCGGAUGUGAAAUCCCCAGGCUUAACCUGGGAACUGCAUCCGAUACUGGAUGGCUUGAAUCCGGGAGAGGGAUGCAGAAUUCCAGGUGUAGCGGUGAAAUGCGUAGAUAUCUGGAGGAAUACCGGUGGCGAAGGCGGCAUCCUGGACCGGCAUUGACGCUGAUGAGCGAAAGCUAGGGGAGCAAACGGG
This 253-nucleotide ribosomal RNA is filed under the name uncultured bacterium. Its description in RNAcentral is "partial 16S ribosomal RNA". It matches the Rfam family "Bacterial small subunit ribosomal RNA", at positions 524 to 776 of the family's 1533-position model. The record is from RNAcentral.